AACGAACGCUGGCGGCAUGCCUAACACAUGCAAGUCGAACGAGACCUUCGGGUCUAGUGGCGCACGGGUGCGUAACGCGUGGGAACCUGCCCUUAGGUUCGGAAUAACUCCCCGAAAGGGGUGAUAAUACCGGAUAAUGUCUUCGGACCAAAGAUUUAUCGCCUUUGGAUGGGCCCGCGUUGGAUUAGCUAGUUGGUAGGGUAAAAGCCUACCAAGGCGACGAUCCAUAGCUGGUCUGAGAGGAUGAUCAGCCACACUGGGACUGAGACACGGCCCAGACUCCUACGGGAGGCAGCAGUGGGGAAUAUUGGACAAUGGGCGAAAGCCUGAUCCAGCAAUGCCGCGUGAGUGAUGAAGGCCUUAGGGUUGUAAAGCUCUGUUACCCGGGAUGAUAAUGACAGUACCGGGAGAAUAAGCUCCGGCUAACUCCGU
This 432-nucleotide ribosomal RNA is filed under the name uncultured bacterium. RNAcentral describes it as "partial 16S ribosomal RNA". It matches the Rfam family "Bacterial small subunit ribosomal RNA", at positions 29 to 506 of the family's 1533-position model. The record is from RNAcentral.